UCCAGACUCCUACGGGAGGCAGCAGUGGGGAAUAUUGCACAAUGGGGGAAACCCUGAUGCAGCAACGCCGCGUGGGUGAAGGAGCGUUUCGGCGCGUAAAGCCCUGUCAGCGGGGAAGAAGAAAGACGGUACCCGACCAAGAAGCCCCGGCUAACUACGUGCCAGCAGCCGCGGUAAUACGUAGGGGGCGAGCGUUAUCCGGAAUUACUGGGUGUAAAGGGAGCGUAGACGGCAGAGCAAGUCUGAAGUGAAAGCCCGCGGCCCAACUGCGGGACUGCUUUGGAAACUGCCCGGCUAGAGUGCUGGAGAGGUAAGCGGAAUUCCUAGUGUAGCGGUGAAAUGCGUAGAUAUCAGGAGGAACACCGGUGGCGAAGGCGGCCUGCUGGACUGCGACUGACGUUGAGGCCCGAAAGCGUGGGGAGCAAACAGGAUUAGAUACCCGAGUAUA
This 448-nucleotide ribosomal RNA is filed under the name uncultured bacterium. RNAcentral describes it as "bacterial SSU rRNA". It matches the Rfam family "Bacterial small subunit ribosomal RNA", at positions 330 to 794 of the family's 1533-position model. The record is from RNAcentral.